This 300-nucleotide unclassified non-coding RNA is filed under the name uncultured Pleosporales. RNAcentral describes it as "sequence contains ITS1". The stretch from base 1 to 105 matches the Rfam family "5.8S ribosomal RNA", at positions 50 to 154 of the family's 154-position model. Lineage: Eukaryota; Fungi; Ascomycota; Dothideomycetes; Pleosporales. The record is from RNAcentral.
GAAAUGCGAUAAGUCGUGUGAAUUGCAGAAUUCAGCUAAUCAUCGAAUCUUUGAACGCACAUUGCGACCCUUGGUAUUCCAUGGGGCAUGCCUGUUCGAGCGUCAUUUGUACCCUCAAGCUUUGCUUGGUGUUGGGCGUCUUGUCCUCUUCUGGAGGACUCGCCUCAAAACAAUUGGCAGCCGGCAUAUUGGUAUCGGAGCGCAGCACAAGUCGCACUUUGUUCCAUGAAUGUUGGCAUCCAUCAAGACCAUUUUUUCACUCUUAACCUCGGAUCAGGUAGGACUACCCGCUGAACUUCA